Molecule: ribosomal RNA, 480 nt
Filed under: uncultured bacterium
Lineage: Bacteria
Description: bacterial SSU rRNA
Rfam family: Bacterial small subunit ribosomal RNA
Source: RNAcentral
AAGAACAUAUGUGUAAGUAACUGUGCACAUCUUGACGGUACCUAAUCAGAAAGCCACGGCUAACUACGUGCCAGCAGCCGCGGUAAUACGUAGGUGGCAAGCGUUAUCCGGAAUUAUUGGGCGUAAAGCGCGCGUAGGCGGUUUUUUAAGUCUGAUGUGAAAGCCCACGGCUCAACCGUGGAGGGUCAUUGGAAACUGGAAAACUUGAGUGCAGAAGAGGAAAGUGGAAUUCCAUGUGUAGCGGUGAAAUGCGCAGAGAUAUGGAGGAACACCAGUGGCGAAGGCGACUUUCUGGUCUGUAACUGACGCUGAUGUGCGAAAGCGUGGGGAUCAAACAGGAUUAGAUACCCUGGUAGUCCACGCCGUAAACGAUGAGUGCUAAGUGUUAGGGGGUUUCCGCCCCUUAGUGCUGCAGCUAACGCAUUAAGCACUCCGCCUGGGGAGUACGACCGCAAGGUGAAACUCAAAGGAAUUGACGGC